GUAAAGGCUUUCUUAAAAGCCAUGUACACUAAUAUGCAUUUUAAA
This is a non-coding RNA of Rattus norvegicus (Norway rat), 45 nucleotides long. Lineage: Eukaryota; Metazoa; Chordata; Mammalia; Rodentia; Muridae. The record is from Rfam.